This 204-nucleotide long non-coding RNA is filed under the name Mus spicilegus (steppe mouse). RNAcentral's name for it is "lncRNA (ENSMSIG00000032113.1)". Lineage: Eukaryota; Metazoa; Chordata; Mammalia; Rodentia; Muridae. The record is from RNAcentral.
GGGGUAGAUGUUUCGCACAGGGUAUUUAAGACUGAGUUUGGAAGAACUACGACGUUGAAUAAUGAAAAUCGAAGAAUCCAGGAUGUCUGGGGGCAGGCCUAAGUAUGUGCCAGACACUAUCCUGGACCUCUGAACAUCAGAAAUGAAAGCUCCCCUUUCUGUGGUAGCAGGCUGUGUAGGAAGCAUACCACAGACCAUGUACUG